Molecule: long non-coding RNA, 1518 nt
Organism: Anolis carolinensis (green anole)
Lineage: Eukaryota; Metazoa; Chordata; Lepidosauria; Squamata; Anolidae
Exons: 3
Source: RefSeq, a predicted model, not a curated record
CCAACUGGGACCAGGCGAGGAGGAGGAGGAGGAGGAGGGAGGGGAAGGAGCAUCAGGCAAAGGAACUGCAGCGGCAAGAAAGCCAGAGGCAAGGACCACAUUUCUGCACCAAAGGAGCAUUCAUUCAGUGGUGAUACAGACUCCCAGAAAGUGUUAAGUGUGGCCCCACACAUCUUUCAGACACAUCAAGAGAUUAAAUGUUAGACGCAGGAUGCUUGUGGUCAAGCUACAUCCCAGUGAGGCCAAGAUGACAAAAGUUAUUGAGGAAGAAGACACAAGCCAGGAAAUGCUGCAGCAAUUUGCUUUUGCCUAAGCCUAAGGCGAGGGGGGGGCAAUAAAUAGGAUUUUGCUCCCUCCUGUCUUAUCCCUGAAUUCAUUAAGUGCAAAUUUUGUUUGGAAUUUGCAGCAACUGAAUAUGCCAAGGACAAAGGGAGGAAGUGGAAGGAGGAGAGAAAAACCUGCACAUUUUAAAAGCAGCUGGAAAAGUGGAAGGCAGAUUAUUAAUAAGGCCUCCCUCUGCAAAAUUGGGACCGUUGAACCAGGAAGCACUCAGCAAGCAAAAAUGUUGAAAAUCAUGUCCUUCCCCCAAGCAGUGCACAUGCCAUUUACAGGUGACACAUAUGGUUACAAUAAGGUGGAUGUAAAUCCACUUUCCUGCCCAGCUCUCUCUUCGCCUUUUUGAAAAUGUGCCCUUGAACCCCCAAUAUAGCAUCCAAGCAAUUUCACACAUAUAACAGAUGUAGGCAUGUGUCAAUGGCGCUUCUGCCAUAGUGUGUGAAAUCUGAUAGCGGCUCUCCUGCCAAGGUCUUCUCAAAUACAGACCAAAUCCAUCAGUGGUGUCGGUUUGUCUCUGUUCCCCUUUGGGCUGUUUUCUUUCCCCAAUUUUCUGCCCAUGAAACCAGCUGUGUUUCCUUUCUGUUCCCCGUGUCUUGCUGCUGUUCUGUGUCUUGAGGUGGCACUUUGAUAGGAUUGUGCCUAAUUGCUUUAAUGUUGCCUUUGGGGAUCCUUUUGUCCCAGAAAUGGAAGAUACCGAAAGACCGACAAAGGAGAGGGGAAGGAGGACAACAAGUGAGUAGAGAUCUAUAUUUGCGGAAGGAUUCGGGGGGAGUCAAUGACACCACCUUCCCCUGAUGAGACCAUUUUCUUUCAUGUAUUUCUGUUCUUUCCUUCUGAAAACAUACAAGAGUUAUAGGAUUCAUUCUUCACUGUGGGCUUAUGAAACAGUACAUCAAUCCCAGGGGAGCAGUCAGAGUUCAUCUUGUGCCUUGCCUCCCAAACUAGAAAUCUUAACAGAGAAAGACACAAAGCUUGCAUGAAAAAGAAACCCACGUGAUAUGAGGGCUGAGAAAAAGUUUCCAUGAGGAUAUUGAGAGUUGGGGAAACAGAUCUUAUUGGACUUCAUUUCCCACCAGCCCUACCACCAUGGCCAUUGGCGAAAAAGGAUGGGAGUUGUUGCUCAGUAUCUGAAGAAAAUGGUCCCCCAUUCACACAAUACAAUUAUAGUAUUAUUAUUGCCCU